CCCUUAGAUGUUCUGGGCAGCACGCGCGCUACAAUGGUCUUCGCAAACGGAUGCAUUCUCGAAGGAGAAUGCCAAUCUUGGAAUCUAUGCCUUGGUCGGGACAGUUGCUUGCAAUUUUUCGACUCGAACCAGGAAUUCCUUGUAAUCGUGAUUCAUCACAUCACGAAGAAUACGUCCCUGCCCUUUGUACACACCGCCCGUCGCUCCUACCGAUCGAAGAGUUAGGUGAAUUGUUUUGAUCGAUAAGAUUUGACUAUGGUCAACUCUCGUUGUGAAAUUCUGUGAAUCUGACUGUUUAGAGGAAGGAAAAGUCGUAACA
RNAcentral lists this ribosomal RNA (319 nucleotides) under uncultured eukaryote. RNAcentral's name for it is "partial 18S ribosomal RNA". It matches the Rfam family "Eukaryotic small subunit ribosomal RNA", at positions 1470 to 1796 of the family's 1831-position model. The record is from RNAcentral.